Long non-coding RNA from Grus americana (Whooping crane), 439 nucleotides. RefSeq lists it as uncharacterized. The transcript has 3 exons. The record is from RefSeq and is a predicted model, not a curated record. NCBI's taxonomy places the organism in Eukaryota, Metazoa, Chordata, Aves, Gruiformes, Gruidae.
CAGUACCACCAAGGGCCCAUCUGGUGGCACUGUUAGCUGAAGUCUUUAUUUCACAAACAGAAGGACAAAUCUUACACAAGAAAAAGAGAAGAAAAAGGAAAAUUCUCACUAAUGGAGCUAUUCAUGUUGCGGUGAUCAAGUGACAUGGUCAAGUGUCAUUUUAUGUGCCUGUACCAUCACAUUCUCUUCAGUCACGUUCUCAGGAUUUCCACAGUAUAAUGUGAGACAAAUCUACACAAGAUGAGAAUACCUACGUGUUCAAAAUGCAGACUUUCAACCUGAUACAACCCCACUGAUAAUCUCAGAAACAUGGGAAUUGCAUUCUUCAUGUGGAGACUUCUGAAGGAGCUUCCCUGGGUGCACCAGUUCCCAUUCAUAGGAAUGGAAGAAAUUAUUUGAGUGUUGACCCAAGCCAGAAUCAAUGGCCUCCUCAGAGCUC